RNAcentral lists this long non-coding RNA (363 nucleotides) under Musa acuminata (dwarf banana). RNAcentral describes it as "long non-coding RNA (MACU_LNC010691)". Lineage: Eukaryota; Viridiplantae; Streptophyta; Magnoliopsida; Zingiberales; Musaceae. The record is from RNAcentral.
UGGUUUCCCAUAGUAAUUCUGCGCCAGAUGGUAUUGUCACUAUGAGUCAAGUAACAAGCAGUUUGUUGAAUGAGGAGUUGAGAAGAAAGAGUUCAGCAACAUCUCAGAAUGAUUCACAGGCACUUAUCUCAGAGAACAGAGGAAGGUCAAAGUCUAGAAGCAGUUCACGUAUGGGUAGGAGCAAGUCAAGAUCAAGAAAAGAUAUUGUUUGCUAUAACUGUGGUGAGAAAGGACAUUACAAGAACCAAUGUAAGCAACCUAAGAAGAACAAGAAAAAGGGAAAAGAAUUGGAGUCUACAGAGUUAAAGGAUAAUACUACAGCUACAGUGCAGGGUGGUGAUUAUUUGAUUUUGUCUCCUUCUG